GGCGUAAACCUGCGAAAACCCAAAAGAUCGAAUGGAGAGAUUCAUCGACGACGAUACUGGCUCCCGAUGGCGCGCGAUGCCCCGGUGGUACCCUCGCGGUUCCACAGCGAGCGGCACACCGCCAUCGGCGAACGUUCCGGUGAUGUAGUCGUGCACUUCUCCCCUUGUAGAACGUCGCGACCCGUUGCGCGUCGGUCUACGGCCCGAGUGGGCGCCUGCGGCGUCGCAAUCCUGCGUACGCCGCAGACCCUCGGUCGCCCGGCCGGCUGCGCGACGGUACUCGUACGGUAUCGGGCCGCAACCAAUCCAUUCUCGAAUGUGUGUGCGUCUAGCCCGCCGCAAGCUCGGUCAGAUUACCCGGUGGUACGGACUUUGCGCCGGCGCCGGGCCUGGCCAGCUGUUAGCAGGCGGUGUCCUCGGACUGGCCAAGCUUCGAAUUACCGGUCGGCGACGCUACUGCUUUGGGUACUCUCAGGACCCGUCUUGAAACACGGACCAAGGAGUCUAACAUGUGCGCGAGUCAUUGGGAUUUAUUAAACCUAAAGGCGAAAUGAAAGUGAAAGUCGGCCUUCGCGUCGACCAAGGGAGGAUGGGCCGCGUACCCAUGCGGCCUCGCACUCCCGGGGCGUCUCGCUCUCAUCGCGAGAAGAGGCGCACCUAGAGCGUACACGUU
Molecule: ribosomal RNA, 673 nt
Filed under: Xylocopa macrops
Lineage: Eukaryota; Metazoa; Arthropoda; Insecta; Hymenoptera; Apidae
Description: partial 28S ribosomal RNA
Rfam family: Eukaryotic large subunit ribosomal RNA
Source: RNAcentral